GCGGGAGUAGUUCAAGGGCAGAACGUUGGCGCAAAUGCGCCAAAGGGUGAUGGUUCGAAUCCAUCUUCCCGUU
RNAcentral lists this transfer RNA (73 nucleotides) under Anaerolinea thermolimosa. RNAcentral's name for it is "tRNA-Leu". It matches the Rfam family "tRNA". From Rfam's summary of the family: Transfer RNA (tRNA) molecules are approximately 80 nucleotides in length. Lineage: Bacteria; Bacillati; Chloroflexota; Anaerolineae; Anaerolineales; Anaerolineaceae. RNAcentral also lists the same sequence under 3 other names. The record is from RNAcentral.